Molecule: ribosomal RNA, 774 nt
Filed under: uncultured Neocallimastigales
Lineage: Eukaryota; Fungi; Neocallimastigomycota; Neocallimastigomycetes; Neocallimastigales
Description: partial large subunit ribosomal RNA
Rfam family: Eukaryotic large subunit ribosomal RNA
Source: RNAcentral
UCAGACGAUGCGUCAUGCAUAUCAAUAAGCGGAGGAAAAGAAACUAACAAGGAUUCCCUUAGUAACGGCGAGUGGAGCGGGAAGAGCUCAAAUUUGAAAUCUUCAAGGUUUUACCUUGACGAAUUGUAGUUUAAAGAAGUGUUUUCUGCUGAAGUUUUGGUAAAAGUUCUUUGGAAUAGGGCAUCAUAGAGGGUGAGAAUCCCGUAUUUGACCAUUAUUUUCAGCUUUGUGAUACACCUUCAAAGAGUCGGAUUGUUUGGGAAUGCAGUCCAAAAUGGGUGGUAAAUUUCAUCUAAAGCUAAAUAUUGGCGAGAGACCGAUAGCGAACAAGUACCGUGAGGGAAAGAUGAAAAGAACUUUGAAAAGAGAGUUAAACAGUACGUGAAAUUGUCAAAAGGGAAGCGUUUGACACCAGUGUUGUUUUCUCGAAAAUCAAUUAAAAAUGGCUCGAUUUUGUAUUGCUUGAGACCUUAAAAGCUCACUGUACAUUUUUCGUGUCUUUUUAAUGCACUUUUCGUUUAACAAGUCAACAUCAGUUUCUUUUGUUGUAAAAGGGUCAUUGGAAGGUGGCUUUCUUUUCGGAGAAAGUGUUUAUAGCCUUUGGCCUCUGCAAUCGAAGAGACUGAGGUCUGCAGCGUAGACUCUUCGGGGUUAGAUACAUUUGUGCUAAGUUAUAGCUUUUUAUAGACAACUUGUUGACUAUAAUUAGUCUUGUAGCUUACUCGCUUAUGCUAUUUUACCUACGCUUAGGAUGUUGACGAUCAGCUGAGCGCG